This 492-nucleotide ribosomal RNA is filed under the name uncultured bacterium. RNAcentral describes it as "partial 16S ribosomal RNA". It matches the Rfam family "Bacterial small subunit ribosomal RNA", at positions 29 to 507 of the family's 1533-position model. The record is from RNAcentral.
AGUGAACGCUGGCGGUAGGCCUAACACAUGCAAGUCGAACGGCAGCACAGUAAGAGCUUGCUCUUACGGGUGGCGAGUGGCGGACGGGUGAGGAAUACAUCGGAAUCUACUUUUUCGUGGGGGAUAACGUAGGGAAACUUACGCUAAUACCGCAUACGACCUACGGGUGAAAGCAGGGGAUCUUCGGACCUUGCGCGAUUGAAUGAGCCGAUGUCGGAUUAGCUAGUUGGCGGGGUAAAGGCCCACCAAGGCGACGAUCCGUAGCUGGUCUGAGAGGACGAUCAGCCACACUGGAACUGAGACACGGUCCAGACUCCUACGGGAGGCAGCAGUGGGGAAUAUUGGACAAUGGGCGCAAGCCUGAUCCAGCCAUACCGCGUGGGUGGAGAAGGCCUUCGGGUUGUAAAGCCCUUUUGUUGGGAAAGAAAAGCAGCAGGUUAAUACCCCGCUGUUCUGACGGUACCCAAAGAAUAAGCACCGGCUAACUUCGUG